AUUGAACGCUGGCGGCAUGCUUUACACAUGCAAGUCGAACGGUAACAGGGUGCUUGCACCGCUGACGAGUGGCGAACGGGUGAGUAAUGCAUAGGAAUGUACCGUGUAAUGGGGGAUAGCUCGGCGAAAGCCGGAUUAAUACCGCAUACGCCCUGAGGGGGAAAGUGGGGGACCGAAAGGCCUCACGUUAUACGAGCAGCCGAUGUCUGAUUAGCUAGUUGGUGAGGUAAAGGCUCACCAAGGCGUCGAUCAGUAGCGGGUCUGAGAGGAUGAUCCGCCACACUGGGACUGAGACACGGCCCAGACUCCUACGGGAGGCAGCAGUGGGGAAUUUUGGACAAUGGGCGCAAGCCUGAUCCAGCCAUGCCGCGUGUCUGAAGAAGGCCUUCGGGUUGUAAAGGACUUUUGUCCGGGAGCAAAUCCUAGUGGUUAAUACCUACUGGGGCUGAGAGUACCGGAAGAAUAAGCACCGGCUAACUACGUG
This 484-nucleotide ribosomal RNA is filed under the name uncultured bacterium. RNAcentral describes it as "partial 16S ribosomal RNA". It matches the Rfam family "Bacterial small subunit ribosomal RNA", at positions 30 to 507 of the family's 1533-position model. The record is from RNAcentral.